UACGUAGGUGGCAAGCGUUGUCCGGAUUUACUGGGCGUAAAGAGCGCGCAGGCGGUCGUUCAAGUCGAGUGUGAAAGCCCCCGGCUCAACUGGGGAGGGUCACUCGAUACUGAUCGACUCGAAGGCAGGAGAGGGAAGCGGAAUUCCCGGUGUAGUGGUGAAAUGCGUAGAUAUCUGGAGGAACACCGGUGGCGAAGGCGGCAUCCUGGACCAUUACUGACGCUGAGUGAGCGAAAGCCAGGGGAGCAAACGGG
This 254-nucleotide ribosomal RNA is filed under the name uncultured bacterium. Its description in RNAcentral is "partial 16S ribosomal RNA". It matches the Rfam family "Bacterial small subunit ribosomal RNA", at positions 524 to 776 of the family's 1533-position model. The record is from RNAcentral.